AAGGUAGCUUUCAGCUUUUGUGUA
RNAcentral lists this non-coding RNA (24 nucleotides) under Arabidopsis thaliana (thale cress). Lineage: Eukaryota; Viridiplantae; Streptophyta; Magnoliopsida; Brassicales; Brassicaceae. The record is from RNAcentral.